This 472-nucleotide ribosomal RNA is filed under the name Cimberis attelaboides. Its description in RNAcentral is "partial 16S ribosomal RNA". The record is from RNAcentral. Lineage: Eukaryota; Metazoa; Arthropoda; Insecta; Coleoptera; Nemonychidae.
CUUUUGAUUAUAAUUUAAGGUCUAACCUGCCCACUGAUAAUUUAAAUGGCCGCGGUAUUUUGACCGUGCAAAGGUAGCAUAAUCAUUAGUUUUUUAAUUGAAAGCUGGAAUGAAAGGUUGAAUGAAAAAAUGACUGUCUCUAUUAAAUUUUAUAGAAUUUUAUUUUUAAGUUAAAAAGCUUAAAUUUUAUUAAAAGACGAGAAGACCCUAUAGAGUUUUAUAAAAUUAUUAAAUAAUUAUUUUAGAAUUAAAAAUUUAAUUUUAUAAUUUUAUUUAAUUGGGGUGAUUGAAAAACUUAAAUAACUUUUUUUAUAUAUUUACAUUAAUAUAUGAAUAAUUGAUCCAUAAAUUAUGAUUAUAAGAUAAAAUUACCUUAGGGAUAACAGCGUUAUUUUUUUUAAGAGUUCUAAUCGAUAAAAAAGAUUGCGACCUCGAUGUUGGAUUAAAAUUAAAUUUUGGUGUAGGAGCUAAA